UUAAGUUCAGCGGGUAUCCCUACCUGAUCCGAGGUCAAACCAUAGAAAAUAGUUUGGGGGUCAUCCGGCGAGCGACACCUGGACUCCAUAGCGGGUUAAAAUUGACUACGCUGGGAGACAGGCACCACCGCCGACGAGUUUCGAGCACGUCCUAGGCGGACGGAGCUCAAUACCAAGCAGAAGCUUGAGGUUUGAAAUGA
RNAcentral lists this unclassified non-coding RNA (200 nucleotides) under Tubeufia sp. Its description in RNAcentral is "partial internal transcribed spacer 2". The record is from RNAcentral. Lineage: Eukaryota; Fungi; Ascomycota; Dothideomycetes; Tubeufiales; Tubeufiaceae.